This 878-nucleotide long non-coding RNA is filed under the name Ananas comosus (pineapple). RNAcentral describes it as "long non-coding RNA (ACOM_LNC006859)". The record is from RNAcentral. Lineage: Eukaryota; Viridiplantae; Streptophyta; Magnoliopsida; Poales; Bromeliaceae.
UUUAGGCUAAUGUUUGGGAUUGUAGAAAAAUUGCGUUACGUGCGACGUUGGAAAAAUGUCCUAUUUGUUUCUGUACGUAAUAUUACGUUCCGCAUGUCGUGGUUACGAUAUAUUUUCUGCGGUCCCACCGGAGAACGCAGAAGUAUAUCCCUAUAUGCUUUUUUCUCAACUCCAUUUUAUCUAAUAGCGUUAGAUAAACCUCAAUACCAAACUAAGCGUUAAUGUUGGAAUGUCAAUAAAUACAAAUACUCAAAAUUUUAUUCAAAUCUGAAUCUUAAUGAAGCGGAUUUAUCCAAUAAUGAAUGGAUAUAAUUUCAGAUAAGAAUAUAAAAUCGAAAACCCGACGGAUUUUUAUUCGAGUGUGGAUCUUGAAUGCAUUCGUGCUCCUAAGCCGUUAUCGAUGAUGGAGCUUCUAAAUCAACGAUCGGCUUCGUUAGACUUGAUCUAGCAUAUUUGAAAUAUUUAGAAAAUAAAUUAUGCGAAUUUUUGAUAUCAUUUACCUAAUGAUUAAAAGGGUUUAAAAUCAACGGCCAAAAAUAAAAAUCUCAUAAAAAAGUGAUAAUAUAGUACUAAAAUUUUUGAUCAGAGAUCUUGAUCUUAUAGUAAAUAGUAAAAAAUAAUUUAUCACAAUUUCAUCUGAUUUGAAUACUUCUACACCGUUAAACUUCCAAUCAAUAUACAUCAACCUUUAAAAAUUAUUGAUUUUGAACCUUUUCGAUCACUAAGUAAAUGAUAUCGAAAAAUCGCAAAAUAUAUUUUCUACGUACUUCAGAUAUAUUAGAUCAAAUUUAAUGGAACCGAUUGUUGAUUCGAAAGUCCCGUCAUCGAAAACGGCUUAGGAGCACGGAGGCCUCCAUGCUCCUAAUAGCACACAACAC